RNAcentral lists this ribosomal RNA (871 nucleotides) under uncultured bacterium. RNAcentral describes it as "bacterial SSU rRNA". It matches the Rfam family "Bacterial small subunit ribosomal RNA", at positions 35 to 914 of the family's 1533-position model. The record is from RNAcentral.
GUGGGCGGGGGGGCUUAAAAUGCAGUCGAACGAUGACCCGGUGCUUGCACUGGUGAUUAGUGGCGAACGGGUGAGUAACACGUGAGUAACCUGCCCUUAACUCUGGGAUAAGCCUGGGAAACUGGGUCUAAUACCGGAUAUGACUCCUCAUCGCAUGGUGGGGGGUGGAAAGCUUUAUUGUGGUUUUGGAUGGACUCGCGGCCUAUCAGCUUGUUGGUGAGGUAAUGGCUCACCAAGGCGACGACGGGUAGCCGGCCUGAGAGGGUGACCGGCCACACUGGGACUGAGACACGGCCCAGACUCCUACGGGAGGCAGCAGUGGGGAAUAUUGCACAAUGGGCGAAAGCCUGAUGCAGCGACGCCGCGUGAGGGAUGACGGCCUUCGGGUUGUAAACCUCUUUCAGUAGGGAAGAAGCGAAAGUGACGGUACCUGCAGAAGAAGCGCCGGCUAACUACGUGCCAGCAGCCGCGGUAAUACGUAGGGCGCAAGCGUUAUCCGGAAUUAUUGGGCGUAAAGAGCUCGUAGGCGGUUUGUCGCGUCUGCCGUGAAAGUCCGGGGCUCAACUCCGGAUCUGCGGUGGGUACGGGCAGACUAGAGUGAUGUAGGGGAGACUGGAAUUCCUGGUGUAGCGGUGAAAUGCGCAGAUAUCAGGAGGAACACCGAUGGCGAAGGCAGGUCUCUGGGCAUUAACUGACGCUGAGGAGCGAAAGCAUGGGGAGCGAACAGGAUUAGAUACCCUGGUAGUCCAUGCCGUAAACGUUGGGCACUAUGUGUGGGGGACAUUCCACGUUUUCCGCGCCGUAGCUAACGCAUUAAGUGCCCCGCCUGGGGGAGUACGGCCGCAAGGCUUAAAACUCAAAGGAAAUUGAA